RNAcentral lists this ribosomal RNA (372 nucleotides) under uncultured organism. RNAcentral describes it as "bacterial SSU rRNA". It matches the Rfam family "Bacterial small subunit ribosomal RNA", at positions 526 to 895 of the family's 1533-position model. The record is from RNAcentral.
CGUGGGGUCCAAGCGUUAUCCGGAAUUACUGGGCGUAAAGAGUUGCGUAGGUGGCAGAGUAAGUAGGUAGUGAAAUUGUGUGGCUCAACCAUACACCCAUUAUCUAAACUGCUCAGCUAGAGCAUGGAAGAGGUAGCUGGAAUUUCUAGUGUAGGAGUGAAAUCCGUAGAUAUUAGAAGGAACACCGAUGGCGUAGGCAGGCUACUGGUCCAUUGCUGACACUAAGGCACGAAAGCGUGGGGAGCGAACGGGAUUAGAUACCCCGGUAGUCCACGCCGUAAACGAUGGAUGCUAGCUGUUAUCAGUAUCGACCCUGGUAGUAGCGAAGCUAACGCGUUAAGCAUCCCGCCUGUGGAGUACGAGCGCAAGCUA